ACUAAAAUGACAUGACUAUAGACAAAACAAAAUUGAUGUUUAAAUGAUAAAAUGACUCAAGGCAGCAAAGAAUAGCCGAAUAAAAUGAUGAAAAACUCAAGCAAUUAAAGCUAGCACCAAAGAAAACUCAAGCAGAACCUAACUCAAACAGCAAAUGAAUGGAACGACAUGAAACAGAUUCAAGACAUUUCAGAAAUGUGAUGACAGUAUGGAAUAAAGCAAGGAAACACUUAGCUCACUGCAGGGUCAUGAAUGAAGCUCUGAAUACCACUUGAUACCAUCCAGCCUCGAUGCUAGAUCCAGAUCCGUGAGAUUGGAGGUGAGAAUCAACGCUGAACAACUGGAAAUCCAAUGGAACAGUAGCUAUGAAGAAUUCCAGCGCUGGUUUGGGCAGAGAGGAGUAACUCUCAGUUUUGGUGAGAUUCAAGGAAUGGUUGCAGCGGAAUGAUGGUGAUUAUGGUAAGGUGAGGUGAAGGCAAGCUUGAAUGAGUGGUUAACUACUUCAGAAGGCCUCCAUAAUGGAAGAAAGUAGCAAUGGAGUACAAGCAAGGAGAAUGACUUUCGGUUGAGAGAAUUGUGCUUUCAUGAGCAGAAU
Molecule: long non-coding RNA, 595 nt
Filed under: Vigna radiata
Lineage: Eukaryota; Viridiplantae; Streptophyta; Magnoliopsida; Fabales; Fabaceae
Description: long non-coding RNA (VRAD_LNC000837)
Source: RNAcentral